This 408-nucleotide long non-coding RNA is filed under the name Rattus norvegicus (Norway rat). RNAcentral describes it as "long non-coding RNA NONRATT030007". The record is from RNAcentral. Lineage: Eukaryota; Metazoa; Chordata; Mammalia; Rodentia; Muridae.
CCACCGCCGCCCGCGGCGCACUCGGCUGGUCCCAGCCCCACGCGCUGCUCUCCUGCUCGCCGCCACCGCCUGCAGCAGCUGCGAACACACGAGCCCCAGCCCGGAGGCCCCGGUGCCAGCCCCAGCCCGGCCUCCCCUGCCGUCCCGGGACUCCCAGGCUCCGCCGCGCACGGGGCCGGUUCUGGGGGAGGGAAUGUAAACAAAUCGGGGUUUUAUAGUUACCUCACACUCGAGUGCCGUGUGCAUCUCCUCUCCGCUCGGUACCAAACCCCGGCUGCACCCAGUCGUGUAUUCUCCAAAGCCGCCUGCGCUAUCUGCGUCGCGGAGCCUAGUGCGCGAGCCGGCGCUCUACGCCGGCGGCGCACUCAGUCUGUUCUGGCGCCCUGCGCAGCCGCACCCUGGCUGCCU